CAGUCGCCACGGUAAUACGAAGGGGGCUAGCGUUGUUCGGAAUUACUGGGCGUAAAGGGCGCGUAGGCGGCCAUUCAAGUUAGAUGUGAAAGCCCUGGGCUCAACCUAGGAAUUGCAUUUGAUACUGUUUGGCUUGAGUUCGGGAGAGGUGAGUGGAAUUCCCAGUGUAGAGGUGAAAUUCGUAGAUAUUGGGAAGAACACCGGUGGCGAAGGCGGCAACCUGGUCCUUGACUGACGCUGAGGCGCGAAAGCGUGGGGAGCAAACAGGAUUAGAUACCCCGGUAGUCCCUGUCUCUUAUAC
RNAcentral lists this ribosomal RNA (301 nucleotides) under uncultured bacterium. Its description in RNAcentral is "partial 16S ribosomal RNA". It matches the Rfam family "Bacterial small subunit ribosomal RNA", at positions 509 to 807 of the family's 1533-position model. The record is from RNAcentral.